This 492-nucleotide ribosomal RNA is filed under the name uncultured bacterium. RNAcentral's name for it is "partial 16S ribosomal RNA". It matches the Rfam family "Bacterial small subunit ribosomal RNA", at positions 29 to 507 of the family's 1533-position model. The record is from RNAcentral.
AGUGAACGCUGGCGGUAGGCCUAACACAUGCAAGUCGAACGGCAGCACAGUAAGAGCUUGCUCUUACGGGUGGCGAGUGGCGGACGGGUGAGGAAUACAUCGGAAUCUACUUUUUCGUGGGGGAUAACGUAGGGAAACUUACGCUAAUACCUCAUACGAUCUACGGGUGAAAGCAGGGGAUCUUCGGACCUUGCGCGAUUGAUUGAGCCGGUGUCGGAUUAGCUAGUUGGCGGGGUAAAGGCCCACCAAGGCAACGAUCCGUAGCUGGCCUGAGAGGAUGAUCAGCCACACUGGAACUGAGACACGGUCCAGACUCCUACGGGAGGCAGCAGUGGGGAAUAUUGGACAAUGGGCGAAAGCCUGACCCAGCCAUGCCGCGUGGGUGAAGAAGGCCUUCGGAUUGUAAAGCCCUGUUAUUGGGAAAGAAAAGCAGCAGGUUAAUCCCUCGAUGUUCUGACGGUACCCAAAGAGAAAGCAACGGCUAACUUCGUG